Protobothrops mucrosquamatus (brown spotted pit viper) is the source of this 568-nucleotide long non-coding RNA. RefSeq lists it as uncharacterized. Lineage: Eukaryota; Metazoa; Chordata; Lepidosauria; Squamata; Viperidae. The transcript is spliced from 3 exons. The record is from RefSeq and is a predicted model, not a curated record.
UUUUGCUCCUUUGAGGGCCUCAGUGCAAUGUGAAGCGUGCCCAUUAAAAACCCUGAUUCGCCAAGGAUUGGAGCAUCAACCUAGUACAUGCAUCCGAUAAUCAUCUUCUCAUACAAAAUGGAUUUUAGCCAAAACAAUCUGUUUGGUUAUAUAGAAGAUCUGCAGGAACUUACUAUCAUUGAAAGGCCGGUGCGCAGGAGCUUAAAGGCAGAAUUCAUACUUACUCUGGAAUAAGUAAAAGUGGUCCUGGUGAUGAAUAGUACAAUCCUAUGCAUGCCUACUCAGAAGUAAGCCCCUUUGAAUUCAUCGGGACUUACUUGCAGACACCAGAAGAAAUAGAAAGACUGACAGUUGAUGAAGAACUCAGUGAUAUUGAAAGGGCUGUGUAUCUACUCAGGUAUAGUUUAGAUACUAUCGUUUUAGUACCUUUUAUUUAAAUGUUUCCCUCUCCACCCUCUUGGUGAUUUUAUUUCUUGAGAUCUGAGUUGUAAUAACACUAUAAAAGGAAGAUUAAAAGAAUGUGUGACAGUAAGACUCCAUUAAACCUACAUGGCAAUAUAUUCUUAUA